GGCAUGUAGACAGAUGGAUCAUUCCAGUGACUACUCUAUCUUGUAUGGGUAAAGUAUGAGACUAUCCACAUCAUCAAUCAUGAAAACCAUGGCUAUUAUCUAUCCAUUUCUUAAGAAAAUACAAUUCAUUGUGUAGUUUUGUUACUGGAGAUAACCUAUACAUGUGAUCAAAGAGGCUUUUUCCGAACUGGGUGCUAAUAGGUU
Molecule: long non-coding RNA, 204 nt
Filed under: Elaeis guineensis (African oil palm)
Lineage: Eukaryota; Viridiplantae; Streptophyta; Magnoliopsida; Arecales; Arecaceae
Description: long non-coding RNA (EGUI_LNC004196)
Source: RNAcentral